Molecule: long non-coding RNA, 1340 nt
Organism: Syngnathus typhle (broad-nosed pipefish)
Lineage: Eukaryota; Metazoa; Chordata; Actinopteri; Syngnathiformes; Syngnathidae
Exons: 2
Source: RefSeq, a predicted model, not a curated record
AACUUGCGUGCAUUUGUCUUGAACAACAUGAGUCAGUGACGUCCCAUCGCAACCGAAACCAAGGGCCCGCCUGAGCGUGAUAACUGUUGACGGAUCGUGUACACGUUUUUGCGACAAAAUCGGGAAUUGUUGUAGUGGAGCUUUCCACAAGGUUAAGCAAACUGACUGCAGCCGGGCUGUUUGAGGCUCUCUUUCCAGCUCCUUUCUGGCCUACCGGGCUCCAGCCCUCCAAACUUGACAGCUAGCACUUAGCCACUUGACACGGUAACCUCCUGUUUGGCCCCUUGACUGACCUGGUUGCCGUCAGCCGCAGUUUGCCGGCCGCUCGAUUUCCACGCGCACGAGAAACAUCUGCGGGGCGUCAGGCAACUUUGAUUACGAAGAGUUACCCCAAAUAUGGAAAUCCUGCUGCUGUCUUGCAGCUAGGCGAAGCUAAAAUAAGAGCAACAGCCGGGCGUCCUCCCCACCGGUGAUCAGCAUCCCCCUGACCUCGUCCCACACGAAGCACCUGACAGUGGCGGUGUGUCCUCCGUGGAGGCUCGCAAGAAGAUGCAGCCCGUCGCCGUCGCACUCCAUCAGGCAGACGUCGCCGCCCUUGUCCCCGCCCACCACCAGCAACUUGCCUGCUCCUUCCAGCCAAGCCCCGCCCACCAGGUAGUCCAGGCGCCGCCCGCCCGGCACCAGUUCCAGGUGGCGCACGUCCGGGCAGCUGAAGACAGCGAGGGGUCGGUCAGUGUCCAGCUGGCGCAGGUCCCACAGGCGCAGUCCCUCGUCGGGGCUGAGGCACAGCAGGUGGCUGCCGUCGGCCUCCGCCCAGCACACGGACACCGCCGCCGAGUCGUCCUUGCAUGUGCAGAGCAGUGCUUCCUCCUCUGAGCCGCGUCGCAGGUCGAACACGUUCACCAGGCCAUCGGAGGAGCCCGAUGCCAGCCGGUCCUUGUCGUGCGGAUGGAAGCGCACCUGCGUGAUGUCGUCGCUGUGAGACUCAGAGUACACGCCCAGCGGGACCGUGUUGGGCUUCCUGCUGUCCCAGAACAUCAACAGGCUGUCUUCGUCUACCAGCUGAGCCAUGCAAAAGACAAGGAGAAAAAUCAACCGGAGACACACAAAGCUCUGACAUGCUUUGCCAACCAAAACUUUCUUCUGCACAUUCCCCCUUUUGGGGUGAAUGGCCCCAAGACAAACUCAUGUGAUGAGACCAGUCCUUGAAUAAUUGGAGUGCACGAGGAAUGUUUGAUUUGAUGGCCACUGUCAGGAAGACCAGCCGCAGUAACUAUGGUUGCAUGCUUUGGGGGACCAAGGUGAUGAGAAGUCUGAAGUCAGAAUAAAAUCUUUGCAAA